This 1498-nucleotide ribosomal RNA is filed under the name uncultured bacterium. Its description in RNAcentral is "16S ribosomal RNA". It matches the Rfam family "Bacterial small subunit ribosomal RNA". The record is from RNAcentral.
UAGAGUUUGAUCAUGGCUCAGGAUGAACGCUAGCGACAGGCUUAACACAUGCAAGUCGAGGGGCAGCGGGGAGGUAGCAAUACUUCCGCCGGCGACCGGCGCACGGGUGAGUAACACGUAUGGAACCUGCCCGUAGCAGGGGGAUAAACGGAAGAAAUUCCGUCUAAUACCGCGUAAUAACUCCGAGAGGCAUCUCAUGGAGUUUAAAGGGUAACACCGGCUACGGAUGGCCAUGCGGCGCAUUAGCUAGUUGGCGGGGUAACGGCCCACCAAGGCGACGAUGCGUAGGGGUUCUGAGAGGAAGGUCCCCCACACUGGUACUGAGACACGGACCAGACUCCUACGGGAGGCAGCAGUGAGGAAUAUUGGUCAAUGGGCGCGAGCCUGAACCAACCAAGUCGCGUGAGGGAAGACGGUCCUAUGGAUUGUAAACCUCUUUUGUCGGGGAGCAAAAGACGCCACGUGUGGCGUUCCGAGAGUACCCGAAGAAAAAGCAUCGGCUAACUCCGUGCCAGCAGCCGCGGUAAUACGGAGGAUGCGAGCGUUAUCCGGAUUUAUUGGGUUUAAAGGGUGCGCAGGCGGAAGAUCAAGUCAGCGGUAAAAUUGAGAGGCUCAACCUCUUCGAGCCGUUGAAACUGGUUUUCUUGAGUGAGCGAGAAGUAUGCGGAAUGCGUGGUGUAGCGGUGAAAUGCAUAGAUAUCACGCAGAACUCCGAUUGCGAAGGCAGCAUACCGGCGCUCAACUGACGCUCAUGCACGAAAGUGUGGGUAUCGAACAGGAUUAGAUACCCUGGUAGUCCACACAGUAAACGAUGAAUACUAAUUGUUCGGGGAGAAUGAUCCCUGAGUGAUACAGCGAAAGCGUUAAGUAUUCCACCUGGGGAGUACGCCGGCAACGGUGAAACUCAAAGGAAUUGACGGGGGCCCGCACAAGCGGAGGAACAUGUGGUUUAAUUCGAUGAUACGCGAGGAACCUUACCCGGGCUCAAACGACACAGGAAUACUUUUGAAAGGAGGUAGCUCUACGGAGUCUGUGUCGAGGUGCUGCAUGGUUGUCGUCAGCUCGUGCCGUGAGGUGUCGGCUUAAGUGCCAUAACGAGCGCAACCCCCAUCGCCAGUUACCAGCAAGUCAAGUUGGGGACUCUGGCGAGACUGCCGGCGCAAGCUGUGAGGAAGGCGGGGACGACGUCAAAUCAGCACGGCCCUUACGUCCGGGGCGACACACGUGUUACAAUGGCAGGUACAGAGAGAAGCAAUGCGGCGACGCAAAGCGGAACUUGAAAGCCUGUCUCAGUUCGGAUUGGAGUCUGCAACUCGACUCCAUGAAGCUGGAUUCGCUAGUAAUCGCGCAUCAGCCACGGCGCGGUGAAUACGUUCCCGGGCCUUGUACACACCGCCCGUCAAGCCAUGGAAGCCGGGGGUGCCUGAAGUGCGCUGCCGCGAGGAGCGCCCUAGGGUAAAACCGGUGACUGGGGCUAAGUCGUAACAAGGUAACCGUA